AUUAGGACAGUGACUCAGUGCAC
RNAcentral lists this non-coding RNA (23 nucleotides) under Cricetulus griseus (Chinese hamster). Lineage: Eukaryota; Metazoa; Chordata; Mammalia; Rodentia; Cricetidae. The record is from RNAcentral.